CUCACCUCCUUCCUUCGUCCUCAGUUCGUCCGGGCUGCGCCCUUUGGCCGUACCUCCACAUGGUGGUCUCCGUGGCGGCCUCCGAUUCCAAAUCCAUCCGCCCUGCUCCCUCUCCGUCUGCGGGUCGCGCGGCUCCCUGCGAGGCUCGGCAAAGAAGCGUGCGACCGGUGACGGGGGCACCAGCGUCGCGCGCCAGCUGCGCGCGCUCGUCGCCGCGUGGUGCGUCGAGGUGGAGGGCAGGGGGGCGGUGGUGUCCGUCACCGCCUGGUCCGGGUGUCAGCUCCCGCGAUUGCGCUCCUCCUCCUCCGCCGCCGUGUAAGAUUGUCUUCUUCGGAUCGACCCGCCCCUCCGUGGCAAUGUGUAGAGCCUCUCCUCCUCUCGCGUCUGGUGCGGCAAUUCGUCCUCGAUUCCUGCCUCUCCUCCUCUGGCCUCGCUCGGUUCGUCCGCUUAGUUUAGAAGAAUCGCGUCUGAUUUGUUCCAUUUUGCUCGUCCUCGGUUCGUCUAUUCUGAUUGAAAAAUUGCGUCUGGUUUGAUUGAUUUUGCUCGUCCUCGCCGUCGGCGUCAGUUUACAGUCGCGUGUGAUUUUAUUUUUUCUCGUCCUCGCCGUCAUCAUCAGUUUAGAGUCGCGUGUGAUUUUAUUUUGCUCGUCCUCGCCGUCGCCCUGAUGCUCUCUCGUGUUCUUGGGCCGUCUCGUCCGGGGGUCUUCGUUCCUGCGAGUCUCGGAGAAAGCAAGCGAGCGGUCGGUCGGUUUGGGUCACUCUCUGCUUGAGAAACUUGUGUGUUCGCUUCUGUUAUCUGCCUGCAUUUCGUGUUCGUAUCUGGGCGAUGGUUGCAAUAAUGAGCGGUUCUGGUUUCAAAAUUGUAGCAGUGUCAAAUCGCUCCCUCUGUUUCAUCACCUGUGUUGUUCGUCGGUUGUUUUCAUAUGCCAAACGCAUGCGCCCUUGUGAUACUCUGGUUGCCCUUUGUCGAUUCUUGUUCUACCGGUAGGUGUGUGUGCUCCCAUCCUAGAUGCAGAGAAUCUUAGUUCUUGUCUGUUACAGCUGUUCUGAUGCUGUUAUUUUCAAUUGUUUAUUGUUACAUCAUGCUCUGCUUAUGUUCCCAUAUGGCACGAUUGACUGAUUGAUUGUUGUUUGAUUGAUUGCCUUGAGAUGAACUGUUGUUUGUUGUUUGAUUGAUUGCCUUGAGAUGGACUGUUGUUUGUUGUUUGAUGAUUGAUUUUCUUGAGAAGGUAAAAACAAUGUAGGCCAGUUGAUUGAUGUUUGUUGCCUUGAGAUGGUACAUGUUUAUAUGGCAUGAUUGAUUACUGUUUGUGUAUGGUUAUUAAGGUUGAUUGCUAUUUGUUUGUUGAUUGAUUGCUGUUUGUUGAUUGGUAUCUGACUUUGGUAAUGGUAGUUCCUGAUCAUAGGUAACAGACCUAGUGCUAUUCUUUUUUCUGAACCUUUUUUGUGAUUAUUAUGCCUUCACAUUGCACUGCUCCCAGAUCCAUAUCGACAUGCCCACGCUGUUUGAUGAGGAUAAAGAUGUUAUGAAAAAAUGGGGAAAACAAGAUUGACAUCCUCUCUCUUUUUAUACAAGGAAUACAGAAGAUGUGCGGCAAGCACGGGGAGUUCCUCUCAAAGUUAGGUGAUCUUAGCCAAACUCUUAUUUUUGCCAAAAUUUAGAAUGUAGAGGGUUUGAACCAUUUUGAUGAGAUCCUGGAAGAAGCUGAUGGUAUAAUUCUGUUAAGAGGAAACCAUGGAAUUGAUCUUCCACCUGAAAAGGUGCGGGCUGCUAUCAAAGUUAAGGCUUCGGUCAUCAUUUGCUUCACCUCAUCUGGACGGGCUGCAAGGUGGAAAGAGAAAGAAAAAGAGUAUUUCUUCUUAUAGGAGCUUCACCUCAUCUUGUAGUUUAAUGGAAAUUGAUUCAUACAGUAUGCCAUAUCGAGUAUCUGCAGGCUAAUUGCCAAUUACAGGCCCACCAUGCCAUUCCUCGUCUGAAAACAAAUCAAUUGAAGUGGAGCUUCACAAGCGCAUUUGAAGUAUGUGAACAGCGUUUUUCCUUGUAACCUUUUGAGUACAUCCUUCUGUGUGUGCUAUAUCUAGGUAAUAAUGAUUCAGAACUAGCAUGUUGAUCUUCAAACUUUGAAAGAUAACUUCAGGCUAUAGUUUUUGUUAAUGACAAAUCUAACACUGAACCUUGCCCAAUCGUGCAACUCAAAACAGAGGAACAAUAUAUAGUAUUUUCCAUGUAAUGCUAGAAAAUUCAUUUAGCAUUUAACCUUCAUGGUUUUGCCUUGAUACAACAUCCUUCUUUUCUCUCAUCAAAAUAUUGAUGAUAUGUAUUGCUCCUUUAUUUUUACUUGGUGCAUA
Triticum aestivum (bread wheat) is the source of this 2348-nucleotide long non-coding RNA. RefSeq lists it as uncharacterized. The record is from RefSeq and is a predicted model, not a curated record. The transcript is spliced from 5 exons. NCBI's taxonomy places the organism in Eukaryota, Viridiplantae, Streptophyta, Magnoliopsida, Poales, Poaceae.